GACGAACGCUGGCGGCGUGCCUAAUACAUGCCAGUCGAGCGCUGAAGCGUGGUGCUUGUACCUACUGGAUGAGCAGCGAACGGGUGAGUAACGCGUGGGUAAUCUGCCUUUGAGCGGGGGACAACAUCUGGAAACGAAUGCUAAUACCGCAUAAAAUCUUUAAACACAUGUUUUAAGAUUGAAAGAUGCUGUUGCAUCACUCAAUGAUGAUCCCGCGUCGUAUUAGCUAGUUGGUGAGGUAAAGGCUCACCAAGGCGAAGAUACAUAGCCGAACUGAGAGGGGGGUCGGCCAACAUGGGAAUGAGACAAGGCCCCAGACCCCAAGGGGAGGAGCAAGAAGGGAACUUCGGGAAAGGAGGGAAGGCUGAACGGGCAAAGCCGCGGGGGGGAAGAAGGUUUUCGGAUCGGAAAAAUCGGUUUGUAGGGGGGAAAGUUGGGGGGAGUGGAAAGCGCAUCAAGUGACGGUAACUACUCAGAAAGGGACGGCUAACUACGUG
Molecule: ribosomal RNA, 497 nt
Filed under: uncultured bacterium
Lineage: Bacteria
Description: partial 16S ribosomal RNA
Rfam family: Bacterial small subunit ribosomal RNA
Source: RNAcentral